GUGCUGGUUGGUUCUGCUAUUAUUCGGAAAUGAUGUUUUAGAAUUAUUUGACAUUUAUAGAUUUGUAACGUAGCAAAUAAAAAGAAUAGACUACGAGAGAGAGAGAGAGUGAGUGAGUGAGAAAAGGUCAUUGUCUCGAUUGUAAUGUAUCCAUCACUUGAAUUAAUUGAACCCCCUCCCCCCUCUCUUAUUUCAUCUUAUAUAC
RNAcentral lists this long non-coding RNA (205 nucleotides) under Capsella rubella. RNAcentral describes it as "long non-coding RNA (CRUB_LNC002780)". Lineage: Eukaryota; Viridiplantae; Streptophyta; Magnoliopsida; Brassicales; Brassicaceae. The record is from RNAcentral.